RNAcentral lists this ribosomal RNA (491 nucleotides) under uncultured bacterium. Its description in RNAcentral is "partial 16S ribosomal RNA". It matches the Rfam family "Bacterial small subunit ribosomal RNA", at positions 29 to 507 of the family's 1533-position model. The record is from RNAcentral.
GUGAACGCUGGCGGUAGGCCUAACGCAUGCAAGUCGCACGGCAGCACAGUAAGAGCUUGCUCUUACGGGUGGCGAGUGGCGGACGGGUGAGGAAUACAUCGGAAUCUACUUUUUCGUGGGGGAUAACGUAGGGAAACUUACGCUAAUACCGCAUACGACCUACGGGUGAAAGCAGGGGAUCUUCGGACCUUGCGCGAUUGAAUGAGCCGAUGUCGGAUUAGCUAGUUGGCGGGGUAAAGGCCCACCAAGGCGACGAUCCGUAGCUGGUCUGAGAGGAUGAUCAGCCACACUGGAACUGAGACACGGUCCAGACUCCUACGGGAGGCAGCAGUGGGGAAUAUUGGACAAUGGGCGCAAGCCUGAUCCAGCCAUACCGCGUGGGUGAAGAAGGCCUUCGGGUUGUAAAGCCCUUUUGUUGGGAAAGAAAAGCAGCAGGUUAAUACCCCGCUGUUCUGACGGUACCCAAAGAAUAAGCACCGGCUAACUUCGUG